AGAGUUUGAUUCUGGCUCAGGAUGAACGCUGGCGGCGUGCCUAACACAUGCAAGUCGAACGAUGAAACCGCCCUCGGGCGGACAUGAAGUGGCGAACGGGUGAGUAACACGUGACCGACCUGCCCCCCGCCCAGGGACAGCCCCCCGAAAGGGGGAUUAAUACCUGGUACUCCGGAAGCGGCGCAUGCCGUCUCCGGGAAAGCUCCGGCGGCGGGGGAUGGGGUCGCGGCCCAUCAGGUAGACGGCGGGGCAGAGGCCCACCGUGCCGACGACGGGUAGCCGGGUUGAGAGACCGACCGGCCACAUUGGGACUGAGAUACGGCCCAG
RNAcentral lists this ribosomal RNA (327 nucleotides) under uncultured bacterium. RNAcentral's name for it is "bacterial SSU rRNA". It matches the Rfam family "Bacterial small subunit ribosomal RNA", at positions 8 to 334 of the family's 1533-position model. The record is from RNAcentral.